GGGAUGGUAUGAUAAAUAGGUUAGUCCAGCUGUUCUAUAGGAGUAUCAGCAAGUGUGGGUUCGAAUCCCAUCCAUCCCA
This is a non-coding RNA of Picea glauca (white spruce), 79 nucleotides long. The record is from Rfam. Lineage: Eukaryota; Viridiplantae; Streptophyta; Pinopsida; Pinales; Pinaceae.